UCCUACGGGUGGCUGCAGUGGGGAAUCUUCCGCAAUGGACGAAAGUCUGACGGAGCAACGCCGCGUGUAUGACGAAGGCCUUCGGGUUGUAAAAUACUGUCUUUGGGGACGAAUGUUAGCUAUGAAAAUAUUGUAGCUAAAUGACGGUACCCGAGAAGGAAGCCCCGGCUAACUACGUGCCAGCAGCCGCGGUAAUACGUAGGGGGCAAGCGUUGUCCGGAAUCAUUGGGCGUAAAGGGCGCGUAGGCGGAUAGUUAAGUCUGAUGUGAAAUACCAAGGCUCAACCUUGGGGCUGCAUCGGAAACUGGUUAUCUUGAGGACAGGAGAGGAAAGUGGAAUUCCUAGUGUAGCGGUGAAAUGCGUAGAUAUUAGGAGGAACACCAGUGGCGAAGGCGACUUUCUGGACUGUAACUGACGCUGAGGCGCGAAAGCGUGGGGAGCAAACAGGAUUAGAUACCCCAGUAGUCC
RNAcentral lists this ribosomal RNA (468 nucleotides) under uncultured bacterium. RNAcentral describes it as "bacterial SSU rRNA". It matches the Rfam family "Bacterial small subunit ribosomal RNA", at positions 337 to 796 of the family's 1533-position model. The record is from RNAcentral.